Molecule: ribosomal RNA, 301 nt
Filed under: uncultured bacterium
Lineage: Bacteria
Description: partial 16S ribosomal RNA
Rfam family: Bacterial small subunit ribosomal RNA
Source: RNAcentral
CAGUAGCCACGGUAAUACGUAGGUGGCAAGCGUUGUCCGGAAUUAUUGGGCGUAAAGCGCGCGCAGGUGGUUUAAUAAGUCUGAUGUGAAAGCCCACGGCUCAACCGUGGAGGGUCAUUGGAAACUGUUAAACUUGAGUGCAGGAGAGAAAAGUGGAAUUCCUAGUGUAGCGGUGAAAUGCGUAGAGAUUAGGAGGAACACCAGUGGCAAAGGCGGCUUUUUGGCCUGUAACUGACACUGAGGCGCGAAAGCGUGGGGAGCAAACAGGAUUAGAGACCCGCGUAGUCCCUGUCUCUUAUAC